GAUGAAGAACGUAGCGAAAUGCGAUACGUAAUGUGAAUUGCAAAUUCAGUGAAUCAUCGAGUCAUUGAACGCACAUUGCGCCCCCUGGUAUUCCGGGGGGCAUGCCUGUCCGAGCGUCAUUGCUGCCCUCAAGCACGGCUUGUGUGUUGGGCCCCGUCCUCCGAUUCCGGGGGACGGGCCCGAAAGGCAGCGGCGGCACCGCGUCCGGUCCUCGAGCGUAUGGGGCUUUGUCACCCGCUCUGUAGGCCCGGCCGGCGCUUGCCGAUCAACCCAAAUUUUUAUCCAGGUUGACCUCGGAUCAGGUAGGGAUACCCGCUGAACUUAAGCAUAUCAAUAAGCGGAGGA
This 345-nucleotide unclassified non-coding RNA is filed under the name soil metagenome. RNAcentral's name for it is "partial contains 5.8S ribosomal RNA, internal transcribed spacer 2, and large subunit ribosomal RNA". The stretch from base 1 to 119 matches the Rfam family "5.8S ribosomal RNA", at positions 35 to 154 of the family's 154-position model. The record is from RNAcentral.